GGCGACCGGCGCACGGGUGAGUAACACGUAUCCAACCUGCCCUUUACUCGGGGAUAGCCUUUCGAAAGAAAGAUUAAUACCCGAUGGCAUAAUGAUUCCGCAUGGUUUCAUUAUUAAAGGAUUCCGGUAAAGGAUGGGGAUGCGUUCCAUUAGGUUGUUGGUGAGGUAACGGCUCACCAAGCCUUCGAUGGAUAGGGGUUCUGAGAGGAAGGUCCCCCACAUUGGAACUGAGACACGGUCCAAACUCCUACGGGAGGCAGCAGUGAGGAAUAUUGGUCAAUGGGCGCUAGCCUGAACCAGCCAAGUAGCGUGAAGGAUGAAGGCUCUAUGGGUCGUAAACUUCUUUUAUAUAAGAAUAAAGUGCAGUAUGUAUACUGUUUUGUAUGUAUUAUAUGAAUAAGGAUCGGCUAACUCCGUGCCAGCAGCCGCGGUAAUACGGAGGAUCCGAGCGUUAUCCGGAUUUAUUGGGUUUAAAGGGAGCGUAGGUGGACUGGUAAGUCAGUUGUGAAAGUUUGCGGCUCAACCGUAAAAUUGCAGUUGAUACUGUCAGUCUUGAGUACAGUAGAGGUGGGCGGAAUUCGUGGUGUAGCGGUGAAAUGCUUAGAUAUCACGAAGAACUCCGAUUGCGAAGGCAGCUCACUGGACUGCAACUGACACUGAUGCUCGAAAGUGUGGGUAUCAAACAGGAUUAGAUACCCUGGUAGUCCACACAGUAAACGAUGAAUACUCGCUGUUUGCGAUAUACAGUAAGCGGCCAAGCGAAAGCAUUAAGUAUUCCACCUGGGGAGUACGCCGGCAACGGUGAAACUCAAAGGAAUUGACGGGGGCCCGCACAAGCGGAGGAACAUGUGGUUUAAUUCGAUGAUACGCGAGGAACCUUACCCGGGCUUAAAUUGCAGUGGAAUGAUGUGGAAACAUGUCAGUGAGCAAUCACCGCUGUGAAGGUGCUGCAUGGUUGUCGUCAGCUCGUGCCGUGAGGUGUCGGCUUAAGUGCCAUAACGAGCGCAACCCUUAUCUUUAGUUACUAACAGGUCAUGCUGAGGACUCUAGAGAGACUGCCGUCGUAAGAUGUGAGGAAGGUGGGGAUGACGUCAAAUCAGCACGGCCCUUACGUCCGGGGCUACACACGUGUUACAAUGGGGGGUACAGAAGGCAGCUAGCGGGUGACCGUAUGCUAAUCCCAAAAGCCUCUCUCAGUUCGGAUCGAAGUCUGCAACCCGACUUCGUGAAGCUGGAUUCGCUAGUAAUCGCGCAUCAGCCACGGCGCGGUGAAUACGUUCCCGGGCCUUGUACACACCGCCCGUCAAGCCAUGGGAGCCGGGGGUACCUAAAGUACGUAACCGCAAGGAUCGUCCUAGGGUAAAACUGGUGAAUG
RNAcentral lists this ribosomal RNA (1375 nucleotides) under uncultured organism. Its description in RNAcentral is "16S ribosomal RNA". It matches the Rfam family "Bacterial small subunit ribosomal RNA". The record is from RNAcentral.